CUACGGGGACAACAUUCCGAAAGGAGUGCUAAUACCGGAUGUGAUCAUCUUGCCGCAUGGCAGGAUGAAGAAAGAUGGCCUCUACAAGUAAGCUAUCGCUAAAGGAUGGGCCUGCGUCUGAUUAGCUAGUUGGUAGUGUAACGGACUACCAAGGCGAUGAUCAGUAGCCGGUCUGAGAGGAUGAACGGCCACAUUGGGACUGAGACACGGCCCAA
RNAcentral lists this ribosomal RNA (215 nucleotides) under uncultured bacterium. RNAcentral describes it as "partial 16S ribosomal RNA". It matches the Rfam family "Bacterial small subunit ribosomal RNA", at positions 134 to 334 of the family's 1533-position model. The record is from RNAcentral.